GACGAACGCUGGCGGCGUGCCUAAUACAUGCAAGUCGAGCGAGUCUGCCUUGAAGAUCGGAGUGCUUGCACUCUGUGAAACAAGAUACAGGCUAGCGGCGGACGGGUGAGUAACACCUGGGUAACCUGCCCAAGAGAUCGGGAUAACACCUGGAAACAGAUGCUAAUACCGGAUAACAACAGAUGAUGCCUAUCAACUGUUUAAAAGAUGGUUCUGCUAUCACUCUUGGAUGGACCUGCGGUGCAUUAGCUAGUUGGUAGGGUAACGGCCUACCAAGGCGAUGAUGCAUAGCCGAGUUGAGAGACUGAUCGGCCACAUUGGGACUGAGACACGGCCCAAACUCCUACGGGAGGCAGCAGUAGGGAAUCUUCCACAAUGGACGCAAGUCUGAUGGAGCAACGCCGCGUGAGUGAAGAAGGGUUUCGGCUCGUAAAGCUCUGUUGUUGGUGAAGAAGGACAGGGGUAGUAACUGACCUUUGUUUGACGGUAAUCAAUUAGAAAGUCACGGCUAACUACGUG
Molecule: ribosomal RNA, 519 nt
Filed under: uncultured bacterium
Lineage: Bacteria
Description: partial 16S ribosomal RNA
Rfam family: Bacterial small subunit ribosomal RNA
Source: RNAcentral